This 728-nucleotide long non-coding RNA is filed under the name Anas platyrhynchos platyrhynchos (common mallard). RNAcentral's name for it is "lncRNA (ENSAPLG00000030257.1)". Lineage: Eukaryota; Metazoa; Chordata; Aves; Anseriformes; Anatidae. The record is from RNAcentral.
UUGCAUUGUGAGCUUCUUUGGAAAUAUAGAUUUUAAUUUUCUGAUACUGUAGAUGAAACUCAUUUUUAGAUGUAUUUUCUUUAUCUGAAAUGAUGAGUUAGUAAUCUUCCUGAAUUUCAGAAACAGUGUGAAUAUACCCUGAUAGGCUAAGCAUAUAUUAUUACCAUAUGCUUGCUAUAAAUGGAAUUAAGCAUGGCUAUGUAUUGGCUAGGGGAUUACUCAGAAUCAGUUUGAUGUACUGAUCAGCUGGGCUUUUAAAUACAAUACUGGCAUUGUUGUGUUGUGCUAUGCAGAUCACUGUCUCCCACCUGGGGAGGUCUGCCCCAUUAGGAAUUAAAUCUAGCUGGUGCUGCUGCAGCUGCAUUGGCAAAUGGGAGAGGGAAGGAGGCAGCAGCAUACAAACAGGACUAUUGUGCUAGGUGAAACUCAACACCAACUUGGCUAUGCAGGUUGUCUCCACCACUCUGUGUGUAAUAAUGGAUGUUUUGGACAAGGUCACAACUGUUGGACAAAUAUAUACAGGGAUAAUACACUCUGCAUGUCUGGAGCAGCACAUCUCUGGUGUCUGUAUUAGAGCUCAGAUCUCUUGAAUUCCGGUUCCUGGAUCUUUUGCUGAAUCAAUUGGUGAGAUAAGGCAGAUAUUUUCUAUAUUAUAUAUAAAAAAAUAAUAUAUAUAUAUAUAUAUAUACAUAUAUAUAUAUAUGUAUAUAUUUUCUUUAUUUUUUUCU